CCUGCUCAAAUGAUGAAAUAUUCCGGAUGUUAAUCACAGACCUGUUCCGAAUGCGUAAAACCAUGUGGAUAUUUCCGUUGCCUUCCUUCUGAUUGAGCAC
This 100-nucleotide small nucleolar RNA is filed under the name Cyphellophora attinorum. Its description in RNAcentral is "Phialophora attae Small nucleolar RNA Z13/snr52". It matches the Rfam family "Small nucleolar RNA Z13/snr52". Rfam says of the family: Z13 or snr52 is a member of the C/D class of snoRNA which contain the C (UGAUGA) and D (CUGA) box motifs. Most of the members of the box C/D family function in directing site-specific 2'-O-methylation of substrate RNAs. The record is from Rfam by way of RNAcentral. Lineage: Eukaryota; Fungi; Ascomycota; Eurotiomycetes; Chaetothyriales; Cyphellophoraceae.